This 719-nucleotide ribosomal RNA is filed under the name Pseudomonas koreensis. RNAcentral's name for it is "bacterial SSU rRNA". It matches the Rfam family "Bacterial small subunit ribosomal RNA", at positions 65 to 780 of the family's 1533-position model. Lineage: Bacteria; Pseudomonadati; Pseudomonadota; Gammaproteobacteria; Pseudomonadales; Pseudomonadaceae. The record is from RNAcentral.
AGCGGAUGAAGGAGCUUGCUCCUGGAUUCAGCGGCGGACGGGUGAGUAAUGCCUAGGAAUCUGCCUGGUAGUGGGGGACAACGUUUCGAAAGGAACGCUAAUACCGCAUACGUCCUACGGGAGAAAGCAGGGGACCUUCGGGCCUUGCGCUAUCAGAUGAGCCUAGGUCGGAUUAGCUAGUUGGUGAGGUAAUGGCUCACCAAGGCGACGAUCCGUAACUGGUCUGAGAGGAUGAUCAGUCACACUGGAACUGAGACACGGUCCAGACUCCUACGGGAGGCAGCAGUGGGGAAUAUUGGACAAUGGGCGAAAGCCUGAUCCAGCCAUGCCGCGUGUGUGAAGAAGGUCUUCGGAUUGUAAAGCACUUUAAGUUGGGAGGAAGGGUUGUAGAUUAAUACUCUGCAAUUUUGACGUUACCGACAGAAUAAGCACCGGCUAACUCUGUGCCAGCAGCCGCGGUAAUACAGAGGGUGCAAGCGUUAAUCGGAAUUACUGGGCGUAAAGCGCGCGUAGGUGGUUUGUUAAGUUGGAUGUGAAAUCCCCGGGCUCAACCUGGGAACUGCAUCCAAAACUGGCAAGCUAGAGUAUGGUGGAGGGUGGUGGAAUUUCCUGUGUAGCGGUGAAAUGCGUAGAUAUAGGAAGGAACACCAGUGGCGAACGCGACCACCUGGACUGAUACUGACACUGAGGUGCGAAAGCGUGGGGAGCAAACAGGAUUA